This 61-nucleotide transfer RNA is filed under the name Heterocephalus glaber (naked mole-rat). It matches the Rfam family "tRNA", at positions 6 to 65 of the family's 71-position model. From Rfam's summary of the family: Transfer RNA (tRNA) molecules are approximately 80 nucleotides in length. Their secondary structure includes four short double-helical elements and three loops (D, anti-codon, and T loops). The record is from Rfam by way of RNAcentral. Lineage: Eukaryota; Metazoa; Chordata; Mammalia; Rodentia; Bathyergidae.
UAUAGCUCAGUGGUAGAGUGCUUGUCUAGCAUGCAUGAGGCACUGGGUUCAAUCCCCAGUA